RNAcentral lists this ribosomal RNA (406 nucleotides) under uncultured bacterium. RNAcentral's name for it is "partial 16S ribosomal RNA". It matches the Rfam family "Bacterial small subunit ribosomal RNA", at positions 30 to 526 of the family's 1533-position model. The record is from RNAcentral.
AUUGAACGCUGGCGGCAGGCCUAACACAUGCAAGUCGAACGAGUGGCGGACGGGUGAGUAAUGUCUGGGAAACUGCCUGAUGGAGGGGGAUAACUACUGGAAACGGUAGCUAAUACCGCAUACCAUCGGAUGUGCCCAGAUGGGAUUAGCUAGUAGGUGGGGUAAAGGCUCACCUAGGCGACGAUCCCUAGCUGGUCUGAGAGGAUGACCCGCCCACCUGGACCUGAUCCACGGUCCAGACUCCUACGGGAGGCAGCAGUGGGGAAUAUUGCACAAUGGGCGCAAUCCUGCUGCAGCCAUGCCGCGUAUAUGAAGAAGGCCUUCGGGUUGUAAAGUACUUUCAGCGAGGAGGCGUUACCCGCAGAAGAAGCACCGGCUAACUCCGUGCCAGCAGCCGCGGUAAUAC